CACAGCCUGGGGUCCUUCCUUUUGGUCAACUAUCGCCGGUGGCUGCGACUGAUCUCAAGCAUGGCGCAUGCGCUGCUCUUCCUCCGCAUGUCGCCACGAUCUUCUGCAGCUGUCGUGAUCCGCCCCAGGCGCCUGCUGCUGGCGACCUGUGCGCCUCGCCACCUAUGCUGCCGCUGCUGGCCGCUCCCACGGCGGCUUCCCCCCACCACUGCGCCCCGGCUAGGGAGGUUUUCGAUCUGAAUCUGGAGCAUGUCGCCCUGUCGGUGGUGGAAGAGGUGCUGGAGGCCUCGGAUCCACCGGGGCGCGAGCCAGCGCACCCGGCCCUGCUGCCAUCUAGCCAGCAAGGGGCUAGCCUUUCACCUUGACGCAGCCUGCGCAUCAGGCGGGCAUAUGACGGCGUUCGGAUGGGCUCCGUUGAGCGAGCUUCCAAGCGGAAGGCGGCGGCGACUGGUUUUGGUUCUGGCUCAGGUGGUAGCGCCUCUCACCGUUCCAGCGCUUCGGCUGCUCAUCGCAAGAAGGCCAAGGCAGUGGCUGGGCUCCUCGAGCCUCCACUGGCGGCGACCCCGUCGCCGUUGACUAGGGGAAAACUCAAGCUGCUUGCUGAGUAAUGCAACCUCAAUGCAACUGCCAUCUUCGACAAAGUCCAAGCCCGCGCCGUAUCUUCUGAAGCGGUGGCCUCUUCUGCUACUUACAGCUCCUCUGCAUCUUCAGUGCGUGUCCUCGAUUUCCCACAUGUCUAGUCUUUUUGUUGAUGCCAUGUUCUAUCCUAGGUUCAGCAUGGUUAGGUGUUUAUCUAUCUUCAGUAUGUUGUUGUUAGGCGCUGCUAGCCGGCCUGUUUCUGUUCUGCAGCCAUGCUGCCUCGUUCUUUUGGGGUGUCGGUUUUAGCGUCCUCGAGUCUGUAUCGUGUCGUCAGUGUCUAUUUUGCACUUGUUACCCGGACUCGAAAGCGCCCUCGAUGCUUAUCUUGUUUUGUUUUCUGUUGAUCAUGCAUGGAGGCUUCUGUUCUUCUUGCUUGGGUUGUGUACUCCCCUUUCCCUCAUGAAGAUUCUGAACUGGAACGUGUGUGGCCUUGGUGAUGAUGAUAAGUGCUCUUUGGUGCGUGAUACUUUAACCUCUUCCUGUCCCAGUAUUGUUUGUCUGCAGGAAACUAAGCUUGCAGCACUCUCCUCGUUCAAGUUGAAAUCCUUUCUGCCUGCUUUUUGCAAUGAUCAUGUGUUUACACCAUCUGAAGGAACUGCUGGGGGCAUUUUGGUUGCCUGGGACACGAGAUGCUUCACUGGGCAAGUUGUUGCAACACACCGGUACCACGUGACUGUCAAACUGGCUUCCACACCGUCAGCAAGUUCUUUCUUGCUUACGGUUGUUUAUGCACCAUGUGUCAUCUCUGAACGGAGUCAGUUCUUUGAGGCUGUUGCUAGCGUUGCUGCUGAAUCUGACAACCCUUGGAUCGUCUUGGGUGACUUCAACAUGUACCGCUUCGCGCAUGAAAAAUCACGAGGCCACAUUAACUGGACUCUUAUGGAGACUUUCAAUGCUUGGAUCCGAGAGCUUGGGAUGGAGGAUAUUCAGGUCGAUAAUAGAUUGUACACUUGGUCCAACAAGAGAUCUUCCCCCAUGAUGGUUAAGCUGGAUCGGGUGCUGGUAAAUGCUGCCUGGGGGUUAUGCUUUGCACAGACAUCUGCCUCUGUUGUGCCUGCUACCACCUCAGACCACAUCCCCAUCGUUAUUCAGUUUUGCACUCAAGCAGUUAAAUGUUGCUUGUUCAGGAUGGAGAACCACUGGAUGCAUAUGGAGGAGACUAGGCGUAUUAUACAAGAUGGCUGGUCCAUGGGCUGCAGAACCAUUCUUUCGCCAGCAUCUCUCAUCAACUUUAAGAUGAGAAGAGUUUGUGCUGCUUUAUGACAAUGGAGUAGACGCCGGCCUGGUCUUAAGUUACUCAUUGAGAACAAUAAACAUGUUGUGAGCUUCAUAUGUGCUGUUGAGGAGAGAAGGUCCUUGUCACUAUUAGAAGUGGUACUUCGGGAGUUCGCGUCUGCUAAGGCGGAGCAAUUGAUUUUAUGGCAGGCUGCUAUGUGGAAGCGAAGGGCCAAGCUUAGAUGGUGUGUGUCUGGGGAUGAGAAUUGCAAAUUUUUCCAUGUGGCAGCCAAUAGUCAGGCAUGUCGUAACAAAGUAAGAUUUCUUGUUGAUGCUGGGGUGCACCACUACCAGAAUUGUCAAAAGAUUCAGUUAGCAACUGCAUAUUUCGCCAACAUUUUGGGGCAGCCUGCUCCCUCCCAACCCACAGUCCAGCUGUCUGACUUGUACAGCCCCGUGGAUCUGUCUGAGUCGGUUAAUGUCUUUUCCUGGGCUGAGCUGGUUCGAGCCAUAGAUAUGUCACCAAAUAAUAGAAGUCCGGGGCCGGAUGGGUUCACAAAUUGAGUUGUAUAGGGCUUUCAAGCACCUGCUUAAGGAUGAUCUGCUCAAGUUCUUCGGGGAUUUUCAUGCAAAUCAAGUUGCUCUGGAUGGUAUCAACACGGCUUAUAUAACCUUGUUGCCCAAAGUGGACUCGCCGAUGGAGAUGAGGGAUUUCAGGCCUAUAUCUCUGGUGCAUAGCGCCCCUAAACUGGUGUCCAAGGUGUUGACAUGCAGGCUGCAGCGUCGCAUUCCUGGUUUAGUGCAUUCACUGCAGUCCGGGUUUUUGAGAGGAAGAUCCAUUGUGGAGAAUUUUGCUUUGGCGGCGGAAAUGAUCCAGGCAGCGCAUAAAAGGAGGGCACCAGUGGUUGCUUUGAAGUUGGACUUUCGCAAGGCUUUCGAUUCGGUAAGUUGGGAUUGCCUCACCCAGGUUAUGCACGCCAGGUCCCCCCCCCCCUUGUGGGUGCAGUGGAUCCAUGCCCUCCUCUCCACUGGACGAUCGAGAGUGCCGAUCAAUGGGGAACCAGGGGAUCCCAUCUUGGCCAAGCAGGGUUUUCGGCAGGGAGACUCCCUGUCGCCCUACCUCUUCAUUCUAGUAGCUGACGUCUUGCAACGCUUGUGCUGUUGGCAUUUCCAGAAUGGUAACUUGUUGCACCCGCUUGGUUCCCAUGGCUUCUUCCCGGUUUUGCAAUACGCAGACGAUACGUUGAUCAUUUUCCGGGGUGAGGUGGAGCAAGCCAGAGUCAUCAAGAAUAUCCUUGCUGCCUUCUCUGCGUUCUCAAGGCUGACUAUCAACUUUCACAAAAGCACUAUGGUUUCUGUCUGUGUGCAACAGGAAGUGGCUGCAGAGAUUGCCAGCAUCCUGGUUUGCCCGGUCUCCUCCUUUCCCUGCACCUACCUGGGGAUGCCCCUCUCUUUGCACAAGAUCAAGCAUGGUAUGUUGCCUCCGGUUAUCCAUAAAGUUGAUCGUCGUCUCUCUGGUUGGCUGGCCACGUUCCUCUCUUGGGGUGGCAGACUCACUCUCGUUAACUCCGUCCUGUCUGGCAUUCCAAGCUACUUCAUGUCUUGUUUCCAGUGGCCAAAGGAGUCCUUACAGAAGUUGGAUGCCUUGCUUAGGGCAUUCUUUUGGCAGGGCAAGAAUACAGUUAAAGGAGGCCAGUGUCUGCUGGCCUGGGACAUGGUUACACUACCUCGGGCAAAUGGCGGUUUGGGGGUAAGGAACUUGGAAGCCCACAACCAAGCGUUGUUAUGUAAAUUUUUAGCAAAAAUUCUCCAGCCUUCCGAUAUACCCUGCUUCAAGUGGUUUGCCUCCCAAUAUUGCAAGGACUUUUUGCCUUUCAAGAGCCAUCACAAAGAUACUGCCAUUUGGAAGGGCCUCAAGAGCUGCAUCCCGUUGGUUGUCUCCUCCUCGCGCUGCUCUAUUGGCAACGGCGCACACGUCUCCUUCUGGCAUGACCCAUGGUUGUUGCCUAGCAGUCUGAAGCAUGCUUUUCCGGUCCUUUUCUCCUUUGCUCGCAAUCCAAGCUGUCUUGUGCAAUCUCAGUUACGGGAGGCGCCUGGAACGUACAGCUCCACCCAAACCUCACUCAGGCUGCAACUCAAGACUUGCAUCUGCUUCAUCAGCUCAUGGAUCUUGUCAACCUGGAUCUAUCAAGCUCGGAUGCACGGGUACCCACGCUUGGAGGAAACUGUUUAUGCACCAGCUACUACUACAAGUUGCUCACCUUCCGGGGAGUUCUUUGGGCUCCUGCUUCCUGGAUUUGGGGCCAUAUUAUCCCCCUGAAAAGUAGAAUCUUCUUGUGGUUGGCUUUUUGGGGGCGUCUGAACACCAAGGCUAACAUGGUGCGCAAAGGUUGGUCCGCAGCGGCUCCAUCUGCUGGCUGCGAUGCUUGCCCGGCGGUGGAGACAGCUGACCACCUGCUUCUUCGUUGCCGUCCCGCCGAUGCAAUAUGGAGCAGACUGUCACUUACAACGUUGGCUUGUGCGUCACCUAACAUACAGUUGUUUGUUUGCCAGGUCAAGGAUCACCUCCAAUCCCCAGUCAAGUGGCAUGUCGCUUUUGCUGCAUGUGCUGUCACGCUUUGGCAAGCCAGGAAUGAUCGGGUAUUCAAUGAUAAAUGCUGGCCGGAGACGUAUAUCAGAUUUCAUGCAGCUAAUUUGCUUAGCCUGUGGAGCAACAGGGCUACCAAGCAGUCAGACAAGGAUGCUCUGGCUUCGUGGAUUACAAUUCUCAGCAAUUAGGGUUUUCUGGUAGCGCCCUUGUUCCUGUUUCUUCCUCUAUCUCUAUCUCUUUUUCUCCUUUCCUUUUUCCCCUACCUUCUACCUUGGGCUGCUUGUGGCCCUGCACCUGGGUGCACUUCACAAGCCUUGUAACUGUCAUAUGCAAGCUUUUGCCUUCUUUGAAAUAUAAGGUCGGCUGCGCGCCACCUUUUACUUUCAAAAAAAAAA
This 4839-nucleotide long non-coding RNA is filed under the name Triticum aestivum (bread wheat). Its description in RNAcentral is "long non-coding RNA (TAES_LNC011216)". The record is from RNAcentral. Lineage: Eukaryota; Viridiplantae; Streptophyta; Magnoliopsida; Poales; Poaceae.